ACAGAAAUCCUAGCUCCUCUUGACAACCAGGGUCAAUUAUCCUGCCAAUGUGGUAACUUCUUUCUUUGCUUGCUUGGCCACUAUUAUGAGAAGCACAAAAAAAUAAAAUUAGCUGGGCAUGCUGGUGGGCACCUGUAGUCCCAGCUACUUGGGAGACUGAGGCAUGAGAAUUGCUUGAACCUGGGAUGCUGAGGUUGCAGUGAGCCGAGAUGGUGUCACUGCACUCCAGCCUGGGUGACACAGUGAGACUCCAUCUCAAAAAAAAAAAAAAAUUAAAAAAAGAAAAACAAGACAUACAAAUGGCCAAUAUAUGAAAAAUGCUCAGCCAGGCAUGGUGGCUCAUGCCUGUAAUCCCAGAACUUGGGAGGCCAAGGUGGGUGGAUCACCUAAGGUCUGGAGUUCGAGACCAGCCUGGCCAACAUGGUGAAAUCCCAUCUCUUCUAAAAACACAAAAAAUUAGCCAGGUAUGGUGAAGGGCGCCUGUAAUCCCAGCUACUUGGGAGCCUGAGGCAGGAGAAUCACUUGAACCUGUGGGGUGGAGGUUGCAAUGAGCCGAGAUCAUGCCAUUGCACUCUAGCAUGGGCAACAAGGGCAAAACUCCAUCUCAAAAAAGAAAAAAGAAAAGAAAAAUGCUCAACAGCACUAAUCAUCAAAGAUAUGCAAAUCAAAACCACAAUGACAUAUCAUUUCACCCCAGUUAAACUGGCUUUUAUCAAAAACACAAAGAAUAACAAAUGUUGACAAAGAUGCAGUUAUAUUCCCACCAACACUCAUACACUGUUGGUGGGAAUGUAAGUAGUACAGCUGUUACUGAAAACGGUAUGGAGGCUCCUCAAAAAACUAAAAAUACGACUAACACAUGAUCCAACAAUCCCACUGCUGGGUAUACAUCCAAAAACAUAAAGGAAAUCAAUAUAC
Molecule: long non-coding RNA, 918 nt
Filed under: Pan troglodytes (chimpanzee)
Lineage: Eukaryota; Metazoa; Chordata; Mammalia; Primates; Hominidae
Description: long non-coding RNA NONPTRT015264
Source: RNAcentral